UACGUAGGGAGCGAGCGUUGUCCGGAAUUACUGGGUGUAAAGGGUGCGUAGGCGGCUCUGGUAAGUUAGUGGUGAAAACUAUGGGCUUAACCCAUAGCCUGCCAUUAAAACUGCUGGGCUUGAGUGAAGUAGAGGUAGGCGGAAUUCCCGGUGUAGCGGUGAAAUGCGUAGAGAUCGGGAGGAACACCAGUGGCGAAGGCGGCCUACUGGGCUUUAACUGACGCUGAGGCACGAAAGUAUGGGUAGCAAACAGG
This 254-nucleotide ribosomal RNA is filed under the name uncultured bacterium. Its description in RNAcentral is "partial 16S ribosomal RNA". It matches the Rfam family "Bacterial small subunit ribosomal RNA", at positions 524 to 776 of the family's 1533-position model. The record is from RNAcentral.